CGGGGCGAGGAGCAAUCCUUGCCGCCGGCGACCGGCGCACGGGUGAGUAACGCGUAUGCGACCUGCCCGUUGCAGGGGGAUAAUCGGGAGAAAUCCCGUCUAAUACCGCGUAACGCCGCGGGGCUGCAUGGCCCUGCGGCCAAAGGGAGCGAUUCCGGCAACGGAUGGGCAUGCGUGACAUUAGCUAGUUGGCGGGGCAACGGCCCACCAAGGCGACGAUGUCUAGGGGUUCUGAGAGGAAGGUCCCCCACACUGGUACUGAGACACGGACCAGACUCCUACGGGAGGCAGCAGUGAGGAAUAUUGGUCAAUGGGCGCGAGCCUGAACCAGCCAAGUCGCGUGAGGGAUGACGGCCCUACGGGUUGUAAACCUCUUUUGUCGGGGAGCAAAUUCCGUUACGUGUAACGGAGUCGAGAGUACCCGAAGAAAAAGCAUCGGCUAACUCCGUGCCAGCAGCCGCGGUAAUACGGAGGAUGCGAGCGUUAUCCGGAUUUAUUGGGUUUAAAGGGUGCGUAGGCGGACUGUCAAGUCAGCGGUAAAAUACGGGGGCUCAACCUCCGCCCGCCGUUGAAACUGACGGUCUUGAGUGGGCGAGAAGUAUGCGGAAUGCGUGGUGUAGCGGUGAAAUGCAUAGAUAUCACGCAGAACUCCGAUUGCGAAGGCAGCAUACCGGCGCCCAACUGACGCUGAAGCACGAAAGCGUGGGUAUCGAACAGGAUUAGAUACCCUGGUAGUCCACGCAGUAAACGAUGAAUAC
RNAcentral lists this ribosomal RNA (758 nucleotides) under uncultured bacterium. RNAcentral's name for it is "bacterial SSU rRNA". It matches the Rfam family "Bacterial small subunit ribosomal RNA", at positions 65 to 816 of the family's 1533-position model. The record is from RNAcentral.